Molecule: ribosomal RNA, 580 nt
Filed under: Tyrtaeosus coelosternoides
Lineage: Eukaryota; Metazoa; Arthropoda; Insecta; Coleoptera; Curculionidae
Description: SSU rRNA
Rfam family: Eukaryotic small subunit ribosomal RNA
Source: RNAcentral
GUCAUAUGCUUGUCUCAAAGAUUAAGCCAUGCAUGUCUCAGUACAAGCCAAAUUAAGGUGAAACCGCGAAAGGCUCAUUAAAUCAGUUAUGGUUCCUUAGAUCGUACCCACAAUUACUUGGAUAACUGUGGUAAUUCUAGAGCUAAUACAUGCAAACAGAGCUCCGACCGGAGACGGAAGGAGUGCUUUUAUUAGAUCAAAACCAAUCGGUGGCGGGUUCGCGCUCGUCAUCGUACAACUUGGUGACUCUGAAUAACUUUACGCUGAUCGCACGGUCAUCGCACCGGCGACGCAUCUUUCAAAUGUCUGCCUUAUCAACUGUCGAUGGUAGGUUCUGCGCCUACCAUGGUCGUAACGGGUAACGGGGAAUCAGGGUUCGAUUCCGGAGAGGGAGCCUGAGAAACGGCUACCACAUCCAAGGAAGGCAGCAGGCGCGCAAAUUACCCACUCCCGGCACGGGGAGGUAGUGACGAAAAAUAACGAUACGGGACUCAUCCGAGGCCCCGUAAUCGGAAUGAGUACACUCUAAACCCUUUAACGAGGAUCAAUUGGAGGGCAAGUCUGGUGCCAGCAGCCGCGG